This 68-nucleotide transfer RNA is filed under the name Marmota monax (woodchuck). Its description in RNAcentral is "tRNA.Ala". The record is from RNAcentral. Lineage: Eukaryota; Metazoa; Chordata; Mammalia; Rodentia; Sciuridae.
GGAUUGUGGCUCAGUGGUAGAGCACUCACUUAGCUUGCAUGAGGCACUGGGUUCGAUUCUCAGCACCG